UGUUUUUUUGGUCUUGUAUCCUGUAGCUAUUUCCAAUUUGAUUAUUUGCUUAUUGCCAUUUUUUUCUUGCUUUAUUUUUGUGAAUUCUUUGGAAUCAUAUCUUCAACAAGUAGAGGUAAACAUCUUCCUGUUCACAGUUGUAUAUUAAGAAUUUCUACUAUGCUGCCAAGUAGGAUUAUUGAAAAUAGUGCCAGUGUUUUAUUGAUUUUUUUAGAAAAUAGGUUUUAGUUGUUUACUGUUGAAUAUGAUUUUUUGUUUUAUUUUUGAGACAGGGUCUCAACUAUAUUGUCCUAGUUGGCCUAGAACUUUCUGUGUAGACCAGGCCUCAAACUUAUACAGAGAUCUGCUUGCCUCUUCUUCCCUAGUGCUGGGGUCAAAGGCAGGUAUCCAUUAACUAUUGUUACUGUUGGCUUUCUGUGCCUCCUUAUU
This 429-nucleotide long non-coding RNA is filed under the name Mus musculus (house mouse). RNAcentral's name for it is "long non-coding RNA chr9:100659976-100660405". The record is from RNAcentral. Lineage: Eukaryota; Metazoa; Chordata; Mammalia; Rodentia; Muridae.